AUGAACGCUGGCGGCGUGCCUAAUACAUGCAAGUCGAGCGAACAGACGAGGAGCUUGCUCCUCUGACGUUAGCGGCGGACGGGUGAGUAACACGUGGAUAACCUACCUAUAAGACUGGGAUAACUUCGGGAAACCGGAGCUAAUACCGGAUAAUAUAUUGAACCGCAUGGUUCAAUAGUGAAAGACGGUUUUGCUGUCACUUAUAGAUGGAUCCGCGCCGCAUUAGCUAGUUGGUAAGGUAACGGCUUACCAAGGCAACGAUGCGUAGCCGACCUGAGAGGGGAAUCGGCCACACUGGAACUGGGACACGGUCCAAACUCCUACGGAAGGCAGCAGUAGGGAAUCUUCCGCAAUGGGCGAAAGCUUGACGAGGCAACGCCGCGUGAGUGAUGAAGGUCUUCGGAUCGUAAAACUCUGUUAUAGGGAAGAACAAAUGUGUAAGUAACUAUGCACGUCUUGACGGUACCUAAUCAGAAAGCCACGGCUAACUACGUG
Molecule: ribosomal RNA, 495 nt
Filed under: uncultured bacterium
Lineage: Bacteria
Description: partial 16S ribosomal RNA
Rfam family: Bacterial small subunit ribosomal RNA
Source: RNAcentral